RNAcentral lists this ribosomal RNA (837 nucleotides) under Candida albicans. RNAcentral's name for it is "LSU rRNA". It matches the Rfam family "Eukaryotic large subunit ribosomal RNA", at positions 67 to 921 of the family's 3401-position model. Lineage: Eukaryota; Fungi; Ascomycota; Pichiomycetes; Serinales; Debaryomycetaceae. The record is from RNAcentral.
AACAGGGAUUGCCUCAGUAGCGGCGAGUGAAGCGGCAAAAGCUCAAAUUUGAAAUCUGGCGUCUUUGGCGUCCGAGUUGUAAUUUGAAGAAGGUAUCUUUGGGCCCGGCUCUUGUCUAUGUUCCUUGGAACAGGACGUCACAGAGGGUGAGAAUCCCGUGCGAUGAGAUGACCCGGGUCUGUGUAAAGUUCCUUCGACGAGUCGAGUUGUUUGGGAAUGCAGCUCUAAGUGGGUGGUAAAUUCCAUCUAAAGCUAAAUAUUGGCGAGAGACCGAUAGCGAACAAGUACAGUGAUGGAAAGAUGAAAAGAACUUUGAAAAGAGAGUGAAAAAGUACGUGAAAUUGUUGAAAGGGAAGGGCUUGAGAUCAGACUUGGUAUUUUGCAUGUUGCUCUCUCGGGGGCGGCCGCUGCGGUUUACCGGGCCAGCAUCGGUUUGGAGCGGCAGGAUAAUGGCGGAGGAAUGUGGCACGGCUUCUGCUGUGUGUUAUAGCCUCUGACGAUACUGCCAGCCUAGACCGAGGACUGCGGUUUUUUACCUAGGAUGUUGGCAUAAUGAUCUUAAGUCGCCCGUCUUGAAACACGGACCAAGGAGUCUAACGUCUAUGCGAGUGUUUGGGUGUAAAACCCGUACGCGUAAUGAAAGUGAACGAAGGUGGGGGCCUAUUAGGGUGCACCAUCGACCGAUCCUGAUGUGUUCGGAUGGAUUUGAGUAAGAGCAUAGCUGUUGGGACCCGAAAGAUGGUGAACUAUGCCUGAAUAGGGUGAAGCCAGAGGAAACUCUGGUGGAGGCUCGUAGCGGUUCUGACGUGCAAAUCGAUCGUCGAAUUUGGGUAUAGG